This 200-nucleotide long non-coding RNA is filed under the name Elaeis guineensis (African oil palm). RNAcentral describes it as "long non-coding RNA (EGUI_LNC039819)". The record is from RNAcentral. Lineage: Eukaryota; Viridiplantae; Streptophyta; Magnoliopsida; Arecales; Arecaceae.
AUAAAUAUGUAGGUAAUUGUGUUGAAGAAUCCUUACCUCUAUUGAUGAUAAUAAACUAACCUUCGAAUUAAUCUCAAUCCAUACUCAGGCUUAUGAAUCAAGUACUAAGGGGACCUACUUGAAGAUCUCCUAUCUGAAACAUUAUUUUCUUAUAUAACCAAUCUCAAAUACUACUCUGUUACACCCUGAAUUUGGCAUCU